UGAAAAAUGCCUGAGUUGGAGUUAGCUAAAUGGAGGUGUGGUUGAGUGAGAGGGGCCAUGAUUAGCAAAAGAAAGAGCUUGAGCCAAGAGGUGAAAGCAAGAAAGUGUAUCCUGAAGGACAUAGAAGGGACAAGAGGCAGGAAGGCUUUCUCUGGUAUCCUAAAGAGUUUGGGCUUGACCCUGGAUGGAGAACUGCUAGGAGAAUUUGGGUAAGGCAAAGACACAACUAUUACAUUUUAGAAAAAAAUGAUACCACUGGCAAUACAGAAAAUGUAUCAAAGUUGAAGCCACUGGGUACAUCAUGGUUCAAGUCGCUGAGAAUGAGAACUGAUAGAGACCUAAGGGGGUGGCAAGUAGAGGGGAAUUCAUGAUGAACUCAGUUUGGAAUAUGUUGAAUUCACAUAUUCAGAGAAAUGUUUAGGGUAGUGGGGAAGACAAGAUUUGGGCAUAAGAGAGAGAAGAAAAAUUUGAGAGGUUGAGAUUGUGCAGUGCUUUAUCAUAGCAUGUAUGAUCUCUUGACACAUUCUUUAUUUCAUGUCUUCCCUGACUAGAAAUAAACUUCACGAGGGUGAGAACUUUGCUUUAUUUCCACCAUCUAGAACUGUGCCUGAACCACAGGGAGCACUCAGGAAAAAUUUACUGAAAAGAUGAAUUAUUCAGAAUUGUAGUUGAAAAGGUGUCUUCAGAGGAGUUUACUUACAUGCAGUGGACAUGAAAUAGGGCAUAGAGUGAAACCGUAGGCAAAACAUUGGGUGGAUAAUGUCAUUUGAUGCCAAAAAAGAAGCACUGAGGAAUUAGGAAAAACAAGAGAUAAUGAGGUCCCAGGUGACAAUGGAAGCAGUUGUGGAAAACUGCUUUAAAUGUCAUAGAGCACUCAGAAGGAAUUCAUAAAUGACCUCAUAAAGAAGUCCACUGUGGUUUCCCUGCAGAGGUGGGAAUAGAAUCAGAGUGCUAAGGAUUGAGGGAUUAAGAGGAGGUGAUUGUAUUAUUCCUCUUUUCAGAUAAUGGAGAGAGAGAAGAGAACAGCAGUAGCCGUUGCCAGAAAUAUUGAGCAAGGCGGAUUUAUUAGAUGAAGAUAUCAAAAUACUUUCCAUUGAGGAAACAGGUUGGAGGUGGGAGGCUGUAACCAUGCUUGAUUUUGUACCACCCUAACCUUUGCUUGUAAGUAUACUUUUUGAAAACCCAUUUUAUUGAACUGAAAUGUAUUUUGUUCUGAAGGGUUGAAAAAGGCUAAAGAAGUGGGAAGGAAUUUUUGUUAAACCUUAUACAAUAAGGGAAAAUUUUCCAGCAACAUGGAAAGACAUCAGAAUUGAAAUCCUAGUGAACUACUAACUAUGUGAAAUGGACAAGUGGCUUAUUAUUCCAAUUUUACAGAAAAGAAAAAUGAGACAUAAAUGUUAACAUCUAUGUGUAUGAUGAUUACGUGAGAUAAAUUUGGGUCUCUAUUUUGAGUGUUUUGUGGGCAGGAAUGGAUUAGGACUUUCUAAAAUAUUAAAUGGGCCAAUCUAAAUAUGUGAUCAAAAUUUUUCAGAGGUAUAUUUUGUGGUAUUUACAGCAAGAUGAGAAUGUAUUUUAAAUUGAUCUUUGAUCAUAUUUUUAUCUUUUAAACAUGUUCUGCCUCAUUUUCUCUGUAAUAAUAACUAUAAUUAUAUCCAUUCCUCAUUAUAAAGCUGCUCUUUUUUCUUUUCUGACAUUCUGCCUUCAUCGACUAAUGGUGGUGAGGCUACUACCUCCUGAGGUUACUUAUAAAAUUAAAGCGAUUGGGAAGGAAUGUUACAUGCAGUCCACAUUGUAUGUGAUACCGAGAGGAGACAGGAGGGCAGAGUCCCUGAUGAGAGCUCCACCCUUAAGCCUGGACCCGUGGCCCUGAAUGAGAACAGGCAUUGCUGCUUUCCUGCCCAAAGGCUGCUUUUUCCAAAACCACCGUGGCCCACCAUGUCCCCUAUCCUGUACCUAUAAAAACCCCAAACUCCACUGGCAGAGGAAUAGAGUGGCACAGCAGAGAAGGAAAGAAUAGAAGUGUCUGAAUGUCAAAGAGGGAGCUGGACAGUCAGAGAGGAGUUUGGCUGGGGACAGCUGAGCUCCAGGGGAAGAUCAUCUUCCCACUCCAUCCCCUUUCCAGCCCCCCAACCCACAAAGAGCCACCUCCAUCAUUCAGUAAAACCUCUGCAUUCACCAUCCUUCAAGUCCAUGUGACCUGAUUCUUCUUGUACUCUGGACAAAAAUCCAGGUUCCAAGAGGGCAGGGUAUAUGUCACCCUGAUUCUCCACGGGACUGUUUAACACUUAGCCCUCUGUGGACAGCAACUGCUAAAAGAGCAUUAAUUGUAACACAUGCCCUCUGGGGCUCCAGAGGUUGUGCGCAACUGCUAGAUGCUGCCCCUGGCGCCCAAAGGCACUAGCCCUGGUUCCCAUACCCACUUACCUGCAUGCUCCCACUCCUGCAAGGGGCUUGAGUUCAGCAACAAAGCAAAACAAGCUACCACCAACCCUCCACACCCUCCCUGUGGCAAGACUCGCAAGAGGGUCAGGGAACUCUCCCCCGUCAUAUGCGUUAUUCCAGUUUAGUUACCUACAAAAUAAACUUGCCAGAAUUAGUGUUUACUACAUAAGCUAAGCACCUAUUUCAACAUGUGUGAGCUUCUAAAAAGCAAAUCAAUGCUCUUCUGUCCAAUUUUGGCCAAGGCUUCAUGAUCUCUUUCCUUAAAACAUCAACUUAAAUUUUACCAUUACUUUUCUCUCUUCCUUCCCCUUAUCCUAUUUAACUAUUAUUAGAGACAUUUUAAAAAAAUUCCUUUCCUUUUCCAUGCUUGGUUUCCUCAAUAGCGAUUUUAUAUAGAAAACAUUUGACAUUAUAGUCUAGCUUUUCAUAGUUAAAAUUAAAUAUUUCAUUAAAAAGAGGAGUCUAUUUUUUCAGACUUGUAGGGCUCUGGGAAGUGGACUUAUGAAAAAAAUGACUUUGUAUUUAUUUACAGAUAAAUAACCAUGUGUCUGUAAUUAGUAAGAGAUCCACUGUAUGUAAUUUAUCUUUUUCUUAUGUGUUACCUGUUAAAGAUGACCUUGUGUUUCCCGACAUGCUGUCAAGUGAAAGAUUUUGUAAGAAUCCUUCUAUAUUCCUACAUUAUUUUAUUGCAUUGCUCAUCAAUUUUGCAUUUUCUCCCUCUCUUAUGAUCCUAGCCUUUCCUUUAUUAGAAGUAAUUAUCUAGUUCAUAGAAAAUUGUUUAAUUUGGUUAUUUUCAUUACUUCAAAGAGAAAUUCUAAUGUAGAACGAUUUGUUUAUAUAUCUCUUGCAGACUCAAAAUACACACCACUAUUAUAAAAACCUUCCCUGCCUAGCUCAUAUUUCCCCCGACUCCUACCCCAUGGUUCCCUAGCUUAUUGAAUGUACUCAUAGCAUCUCUUUUAGUCUGUAUUGCUAUCAUGUGUUUUUCUAAUCUGUUCCCCAUAGUAACAGUGAAAUCCUUGAGGGCACGAGUCUUAUCUUUUUCAACUCUAUUUUCAGCACCUCGCAUUGUGAGUUGGUGUAAGUAGUUCAGUAAAUAACUGUAGAUGUCAAAAUAAAUAAAUGUCAGCUAAUUUUUAUGUAUAUUCAAAGAUAAAAUUUUAUUUAUUGUCAUAAUUACCUUUACCCAAUCUAUUUUUUAUUGUUUGUUUCAAAUUACACCAAUAAAAAUGUGACAAUAACCAUGCUCAUCCUUAGACUAACACCAAUGUUUAGAAGCAGUUUCACCAUAUAGUUCCAUUUUUAAAAAAUUCUAAAUAUUUGCUAUAUUCUUUAAUUGAGUCUUCCCAAAGCAAUCUUUGAACUAAUUGUUGGUUUCUCAGAUUUCUAUUUUGUUAUCUUUAAGACACUCUUUAAAUCUCAUCAAAAAUCUUCAUGGAAAUUAAUUACAUUGUACCCAAACGUUAUAAAAUCUUACCAUUUAAAGAUACUUUAGAGUUCAUUUGAACUAUUCUUCAAAGAAUUAGCAAUGAAGUUCUUUUGGAUUGAUUGAUAUUCAUGUACCCAAGAAAGAUAGGUAGAAUAUUAAUUCAUUUUAUUAUUUCCAAAGAGAAGGUGUGAAAAUAAACUAGAACACAGUUGAGUUGGCAGAACUGAGUUUGUGUUUACAAAACUGAAAAGGCUGGACCACAAUGUGGUUUACUGGUGAUAUAUUAAUUUAGAUAACAAUUAAAUCUCGGAGACUUACCAUAUUGAAAGUUUAUUUUUUGGUUUACACAAAUCUGAUAUACUGGAUAGGGGCUUUUCUCCUUUCAUUUACUCAAGGAUCCAGGUUCCAGUCCAAUAUGCACCAUUCAGCCUGGUUGCAGCAUGUUAAGCAGCCCUGGAGGCAGCAGAUGAGGGAUCCUAUGAAGCAACUUUCAGACAUUCAGAACCAAGACAAAAAAAAAGAGAAUUAAAGUAAAAUAUGAUGUACCCAGGAGUUACAUCAGUGAACCAAAUACAGCCUCAAAUUUCGAUCUGUGCUUCACAGCAGCCAGCAAAAAGAACAAAACAUAUUUUGUUAGUUCAUAUAAAUAAAUAAAUUAAAAAUGCAUGAAUAAAUAAAUAAAGCAAACCAGUUUCUCGAUUCUGAAAUAUUUUCUGGAAGUGAGAACUGAAAGGAAUUUCCACCAUGGACCCACAAGCAGUUGUUGGUGGCAUAUAUAAUGAGUGCUGGGUGUUAAGGAAGCAAUGGUGAAGGAGAGACACCCUCCCGACCCUCAUGGUGCUUGCAGCCUAGUGGAGCUAUGAAAAGAUAGGCAAGUGAGUCCUAUGAUUGGAGAAGUAAUGAGAAGUAAUGAGAAGCGUCUUCUAAGCAUAGGGGUAAAGACUGCAAAGACCCUGAAGGGAGAAAGUAAUGGCCAUUCUGAGAACUGAAAGUUUGCACAGUGCACAGAGGGCAUGAAGAACGAAGGAAAGAGAUUUUUUUUUUUUUUUUUUUGCCCAAGAUGGCAAGUUGCUUAAAACCUAAAGCUCCUUUCAAUUCUUUACAAUCCAAGAUUAUAUGGAAUGGACUGGGAACAAAGAGAGGGACUGGCAUUUAAAGUCUUUUAUACACUUUGGAACAAAUGUUAUUCUCCAUUCAUCCUGACACUAAAUUGGUUAGCCAAACCCAAAGAUCUACUAAUAAUCCUGCUUUGGCAUGGGAGAAUGAGUGAGAUAAGGAGGCAAUAGAGGAGAUGAAUCGACAAAUGGAAGGAAUAGAAUUCUGGUUGAUGUCCUUGUCUCUAAGCUGUAGCAGCAAGUAUUUAUCCUAAUCAUGUGGUGUUAGCACGGAGAUGAGAAAGAGAGAAAGACAACAUCAUGCUUUGCUGUCUGUGUGUGAACUGAGUAACAGCUGUGAAGGAUCAGUCACCAAAAGACUUUGAAAGAAGAGGCUUGAUUGGUCACGGUAAUGAUGCUCCCCUGGCCAUGGAAGUUUAAUUGGGAGAAAAGAACAUCUGCUUAUACGAAAACAUAUUAUAUUCAGCCAUCCCUGCCCUGACUUUGGCCUUUAAAAACAGUGGCAUUAAUUAUCUCAACAAAUGAAUCUUCGGGAUAAAAAUAAUCUAAAUAUUAUUUUACGCUUACUACAUAUUUGCAACGUGCUAAGCUCUUUAUGGUUGCUACCACAAAAAACAUUUAUAAUAUGAGGUGGGUAUUUUUAUUAUAUACAUUUUCAGUUUAAAGACAGUAACUUCAGAAUGUAACUUGUCCUAGUCACACAAAAGCAGGUGUGGACUAAAACUCAAACCCAUGAUUCUUUCACUUUAAAUGAUAUGGUUCUGAACCAUUAAAUUCGAAUGCUACUAAGAAUGGUGAAUGCUAAGCAAUGUUAAGCUACACAUUGUUAUUAUUAACAAAUAAUUUCAAAAGGGCAGGAGAGGUAGGUUAAAAAUUAAAGGGUUAAGCUGGAAUAACAUGUCAAAUUUCUCAGAGUUUUUUAUUUUCAUGAAAAAAUAUAUUUUAUAUUGCAACAGAAUGAACUUGACUUAACAGUUUAGGUAGCUGAUUGCAUAUAUUUUGAUAGUCCUAUCAUAUUUCCAACAAAUACAUUUUCUCCCCACCCCACCUGCAACUGGAGACUUCACAAGGUUAGGAACAGGCUUCACUUCAUUGUGAUGUGUGUAAGGUGACAGAGGACAUAUAACGAAUACGUGGAAGAACUAGGAAUUUGACCUUAGCUUCCAGACAUUUUGAGGAGGAUACACUAUGUCCAUCUUGCUUUCCUAUCAAGAAAAGUAUACCCAGUUUGUGCAGUAGCCCUGUACCAACAGAUACAUUACAGCAGGUUGUUUCCGUAUUUUGGCUAUUGUGAAUAGUGCUGCAAUAAACAUGGAAGUGCUGAUAUAUCUUUGAGAUCUUGACUUCAAACAAAAGAAGAAAAUCUUGCAAUAUAUGACAACACGGAUUAACCUGGAGGACAUUGUGCUUAGUGAAGUUAGCCAGUCACAGACUGACAAGUACUGCACGAUUCCACUUAUGAAGACUACAGUUCCUAUCUUCACAGGUGGCUGUUAGCUCUAAAUGAACUCAUUUAUUUUGAAAGCAUGAUUUAAAGUAUAGUUUUAAACUAUAAGCAUUUCAGAAGUGAUGACCCAUGACUCAAAUCUCAAAAAUAAAUGCUACAGUUCACAGUUGGAAUAUGGACACAAGAAAAAUAAUAGGCUUUGGCCAAAAAAGAGUGCAGUUCUGUGAUGAAUAUCAGCUUCAUCAACAUGCCCCAGGCACCGUGAUGUCCCUCCUCUGCUCUGCUGCAUAACAGGGUGGAGACCAAAUCCAACAGUAUGAACAAGCAUCCAUCAAAACCACAGUUCUAUUAUUGAGACCAUUUCUGAUUGAAUUUCCUCAGCAGACUAUCCAAGUCGUCAUGUUCAUCAAGGUAUUCAAUUUAAAUGACCAUUAAAACGAAAUUAAGUUGGUAUUAACCUUGUCUUUUCAGAUGAUGCCACUGAAAGGUAAACAUACCAUUCUGACAUGCAUGAAAAUGAAACGACAAAUUGAUACACGCAGUGCUUGGAAUGGAUGGAGUCCUUCUAAUGAGUGAUUACCUGUGGUAUAACUAUAUUGAUUGUGUUUGUACAUGUCAAAUGGGGCUGGCGAGGAUGAACUUGAAGAAAUCAAUCUUGGAACCUGCUAGGACAGCAGCCUCCUGGUUUCACAGUACUAAAUCAUGACUUCAAAAUUUUGAAGUAAAAGAAAACUGCAAAACUUUGUAAAGGUACCAGUCUCUUCCUGACACUAUUUGCCUUGGCAAAAGAUUCACUGUCAACUUAAAAGACUAACAUGUGCUCAGAUGAUGAUUUGUGGAGGACAGAUAAUUAUGAGUACAUUUAGAAAUACACACUCUUCCAAACCCUGCUCUUUCCAUAUAAUGAAGUUAUUUAUUUCUAUUUUUUAUUUAUUUUUCUAAUAAUUACAAACAUACUUUGGAGACCCACAUUCCUGUAUUAUUCUUUCAACAUACUGAAGAAGAGUUAUUUCUAUGCUUCUUUCUAUGUGUUGGGCUUAAGAUUUAUUAGAAGGAAUGUGUAAAAACAAAGGCAGCAAAGUUUCUAUUUUUAUUGGGAGUCACUCCCGGAGUAAGUGGGGAUAGUUGUGCACACACACACACACACAUUCAUGCACAAAGAAAGAGUGAUCAAGUGUAUAACACACUUUUAGCAGUGUUUUGCUGGAAGAAUAAAGUAUAACUCCUUGUCCGCCCUUUUAUUAUACUGGGGUUCACACUAAGAGAGUCUGAGGACCUGUGGAACUCCCAUUUGCAUGAAAUAACUUUUGCAUCUAUUCUGGAGGAAAACUUCCUAAGGCAGAUUUGGACAGAAAAUUGCUAUCAGCGCAAAUAAAACAAUGCAAAGCCUACUCCGGGGAACGUUGCUCUGCCACCACUACUGAAAUGGGUCAUCCCCUUGGUUUCUGAAUAAAGAAUUAUGAAACCUGGGGCUAGAAUGCUCAGGGAGGAAUUUACCAAUCCAAAUCUUCCCCUUAUGGUAGAGAACAAACUUUCAAGGUUUGUUCUCCACUGUAAGUGUGCGAGGGCUGUUAGGGACCGUAAUAUGGCUGCCGGAGACUGGUGUGUGUACCUCCUUGACUGUACGUCUCAUUUCCAGUUAUGAUUUUACAAUCAUCUCUUUCUCAACCUUUGCUUUUAAAUAUAGGAAGGUACGGCUCACCAUGGAGCGGACAUUUUCUUCAGGAGCGGUACGGUGUCUAAGAUAUGCAGAGGUUGUAUUCUAGUCCUAUAACUCAAUUCUCAAACACAUGGCUUUUAGCCAGGGAUAUCCUAAAGGAAAAUUACACUAUAUGCAACCCCUCCUUACUCCUCAAAUAUUAUCUAUAUUAAACACAGCUGAAAUUUGAGAGUGUCCUUACAGGUGAAAAUUUAACAAUUUAACAAAAGGACACUGCUGAAUGUGUGGGGACAAAGGAAGGAUGAAUCUUUCAUCAUGACAAAAGACUACUUGCCACAUUCUCCCUUAACUUAGAAAAACAGAAAAGAGGCUGGGCGUGGUGGCUCCUGCCUGUAACCUCAGCACUUUGGGAG
Molecule: long non-coding RNA, 8506 nt
Filed under: Homo sapiens (human)
Lineage: Eukaryota; Metazoa; Chordata; Mammalia; Primates; Hominidae
Description: HSALNT0333218
Source: RNAcentral